Molecule: ribosomal RNA, 497 nt
Filed under: uncultured bacterium
Lineage: Bacteria
Description: partial 16S ribosomal RNA
Rfam family: Bacterial small subunit ribosomal RNA
Source: RNAcentral
GAUGAACGCUGGCGGCGUGCCUAAUACAUGCAAGUCGAGCGAACAGACGAGGAGCUUGCUCCUCUGACGUUAGCGGCGGACGGGUGAGUAACACGUGGAUAACCUACCUAUAAGACUGGGAUAACUUCGGCAAACCGGAGCUAAUACCGGAUAAUAUAUUGAACCGCGUGGUUCAAUAGUGAAAGACGGUUUUGCUGUCACUUAUAGAUGGAUCCGCGCCGCAUUAGCUAGUUGGUAAGGUAACGGCUUACCAAGGCAACGAUGCGUAGCCGACCUGAGAGGGUGAUCGGCCACACUGGAACUGAGACACGGUCCAGACUCCUACGGGAGGCAGCAGUAGGGAAUCUUCCGCAAUGGGCGAAAGCCUGACGGAGCAACGCCGCGUGAGUGAUGAAGGUCUUCGGAUCGUAAAACUCUGUUAUUAGGGAAGAACAAAUGUGUAAGUAACUAUGCACGUCUUGACGGUACCUAAUCAGAAAGCCACGGCUAACUACGUG